UACGGAAGGCAGCAGGGGGAAUAUUGCACAAUGGGCGCAAGCCUGAUGCAGCCAUGCCGCGUGUAUGAAGAAGGCCUUCGGGUUGUAAAGUACUUUCAGUCGUGAGGAAGGUGUUAAGGUUAAUAACCUUAGCAAUUGACGUUAGCGACAGAAGAAGCACCGGCUAACUCCGUGCCAGCAGCCGCGGUAAUACGGAGGGUGCGAGCGUUAAUCGGAAUUACUGGGCGUAAAGGGCACGCAGGCGGUUAAUUAAGUUGGAUGUGAAAUCCCCGGGCUUAACCUGGGAAUGGCAUUCAAGACUGGUUAGCUAGAGUCUUGUAGAGGGGGUAGAAUUCCAUGUGUAGCGGUGAAAUGCGUAGAGAUGUGGAGGAAUACCGGUGGCGAAGGCGGGCCCCUGGACAAAGACUGACGCUCAUGUGCGAAAGCGUGGGGAGCAAACAGGGAUUAGAUA
RNAcentral lists this ribosomal RNA (451 nucleotides) under uncultured bacterium. RNAcentral describes it as "bacterial SSU rRNA". It matches the Rfam family "Bacterial small subunit ribosomal RNA", at positions 340 to 784 of the family's 1533-position model. The record is from RNAcentral.